CUUGGUCAUUUAGAGGAAGUAAAAGUCGUAACAAGGUUUCCGUAGGUGAACCUGCGGAAGGAUCAUUAUCAUACAACUGAGGUGCAAAGGCUGUCGCUGACUUUUCGUCGUGCACGCCCGAGUGCUCUCAAACAUAUCCAUCUCACCCCUGUGCACCACCGCGUGGGUUCCCUUUUGGCUCGUUCCGAGGGGGGGCUCGCGUUUUCACACAAACUUGAUACGGUAUAGAAUGUCUUUGUUUGCGAUCACACGCAAUUAAUACAACUUUCAACAACGGAUCUCUUGGCUCUCGCAUCGAUGAAGAACGCAGCGAAAUGCGAUACGUAAUGUGAAUUGCAGAAUUCAGUGAAUCAUCGAAUCUUUGAACGCACCUUGCGCCCCUUGGCAUUCCGAGGGGCACACCCGUUUGAGUGUCGUGAAAUCAUCAAAACCUUCUCUUUGACCCUCUUUGGUCGGGAAAAGGAUUUUUGGACUUGGAGGUUCCAUGCUCGCCUUCACUUUUGAAAGCGAGCUCCUCUCAAAUGAAUUAGUGGGGUCCGCUUUGCUGGUCCUUGACGUGAUAAGAUGUUUCUACGUUUUGGAUUUAGCACUGUCCCUUGGAUGCCUGCUCCUAACUGUCUCACGGACAAUGAUGGUGCUCUGGUCACUGCCAUCUACAUUGGCGGGAGGCUGGACCCACAAAAGAAAACCUUGACCUCAAAUCGGGUGAGACUACCCGCUGAACUUAGGCAUAUCAAUAAGCGGAGGA
This 748-nucleotide ribosomal RNA is filed under the name uncultured Russula. RNAcentral describes it as "eukaryotic LSU rRNA". The stretch from base 263 to 416 matches the Rfam family "5.8S ribosomal RNA". The record is from RNAcentral. Lineage: Eukaryota; Fungi; Basidiomycota; Agaricomycetes; Russulales; Russulaceae.